This 1050-nucleotide ribosomal RNA is filed under the name uncultured bacterium. RNAcentral's name for it is "bacterial SSU rRNA". It matches the Rfam family "Bacterial small subunit ribosomal RNA", at positions 335 to 1397 of the family's 1533-position model. The record is from RNAcentral.
ACUCCUACGGGAGGCAGCAGUGGGGAAUAUUGCUCAAUGGGCGCAAGCCUGAAGCAGUGACGCCGCGUGAGGGAUGAAGGCCUUCGGGUUGUAAACCUCUUUCAGCUCCGAAGAAGCGAAAGUGACGGUAGGAGCAAAAGAAGCACCGGCUAACUACGUGCCAGCAGCCGCGGUAAUACGUAGGGUGCAAGCGUUGUCCGGAUUUAUUGGGCGUAAAGAGCUCGUAGGCGGUCUGUCGCGUCUGCUGUGAAAACUCGGGGCUUAACCCCGGGCCUGCAGUGGGUACGGGCAGACUAGAGUGCGGUAGGGGAGACUGGAAUUCCUGGUGUAGCGGUGAAAUGCGCAGAUAUCAGGAGGAACACCGGUGGCGAAGGCGGGUCUCUGGGCCGUACCUGACGCUGAGGAGCGAAAGCAUGGGUAGCGAACAGGAUUAGAUACCCUGGUAGUCCAUGCCGUAAACGUUGGGCGCUAGGUGUGGGGCUCAUUCCACGAGUUCCGUGCCGCAGCAAACGCAUUAAGCGCCCCGCCUGGGGAGUACGGCCGCAAGGCUAAAACUCAAAGGAAUUGACGGGGCCCCGCACAAGCGGCGGAGCAUGCGGAUUAAUUCGAUGCAACGCGAGGAACCUUACCAAGGCUUGACAUGCAGGGAAAUCUCACAGAGAUGUGAGGUCCGCAAGGGUCCUGCGCAGGUGAUGCAUGGUUGUCGUCAGCUCGUGUCGUGAGAUGUUGGGUUAAGUCCCGCAACGAGCGCAACCCUCGUUCUAUGUUGCCAGCGGAUAAUGCCGGGGACUCAUAGGAGACUGCCGGGGUCAACUCGGAGGAAGGUGGGGAUGACGUCAAAUCAUCAUGCCCCUUAUGUCUUGGGCUUCACGCAUGCUACAAUGGCCAGUACAAAGGGCUGCGAGACCGUAAGGUGGAGCGAAUCCCAAAAAGCUGGUCUCAGUUCGGAUUGGGGCCUGCAACUCGACCCCAUGAAGUCGGAGUCGCUAGUAAUCGCAGAUCAGCAACGCUGCGGUGAAUACGUUCCCGGGGCUUGUACACACCGCCCGU